Molecule: long non-coding RNA, 574 nt
Organism: Eutrema salsugineum
Lineage: Eukaryota; Viridiplantae; Streptophyta; Magnoliopsida; Brassicales; Brassicaceae
Exons: 3
Source: RefSeq, a predicted model, not a curated record
AUUUUUUUUUCUUUCAAUUUCUCUUCUAAAAAGAAAGUAAGUACAGUAACAUAGUUUGAUUUCUGAGGUGAGAGGGGUAUCAGAUUAAUUGGGAAGAGUGAAGAGCCCCGCGAAUUCAUCCUGGUGUUGUGAUGAUGGAUUUAGGCUUGCCAGAAAAAAUGUUCUAACCUGCAUGCGGGUGCAAAGUACUAGUUGAUUGCGGCGGGGUAGUUGUUGCCCGAUUGUCAAGGCAUCUUAUAUCCCUGUCUUCCCAACAAAUAAUAGGGGGUGGUUGAAAAUAACUAAUUAAUAGCUCUAUACAUAAGACAAGAACAGCAAGAAAACAUGAAGAACAUGCCGAAGGAGACCUAUAUUAGCUGCUGGACUAAUAUAGGAGGACAAUAUGUUGAAGCUCGUGAUAAAAGGAGAAACCGACUCUCUGGAAAUACCCUCCCCAUCAGUCUUUAGACCGAUAAAGCUAACGGCUGUGCAGAGUCAAGAUGAUGUGUCAUGUGUGAAAAAUGACUUGAUUCUAGGACAAAAUUGUUAUUUGUUAUUUUAGGAUAAACCAUAAGUCUAAACAUAAUCAAUAAAU